This 457-nucleotide ribosomal RNA is filed under the name Treponema sp. oral taxon 270. Its description in RNAcentral is "bacterial SSU rRNA". It matches the Rfam family "Bacterial small subunit ribosomal RNA", at positions 29 to 479 of the family's 1533-position model. Lineage: Bacteria; Pseudomonadati; Spirochaetota; Spirochaetia; Treponematales; Treponemataceae. The record is from RNAcentral.
AACGAACGCUGGCGGCGCGUCUUAAGCAUGCAAGUCGAAUGGCAAGAUUGGUGCUUGCACUGAUCCUAGAAUGGCGGACUGGUGAGUAACGCGUGGGUGACGUACCCUUUGGACGGGGAUAGCUGCUAGAAAUAGCAGAUAAUACCGGAUAAGGUGGCCUGUGUCAGAGGCAGGUCAGGAAAGGAACAUUUGUUCCGCCGAAGGAACGGCUCGCGAGCUAUUAGCUAGUUGGUGAGGUAACGGCCCACCAAGGCGAUGAUAGCUACCCGGCCUAAGAGGGUGAACGGGCACAUUGGGACUGAGAUACGGCCCAGACUCCUACGGGAGGCAGCAGCUAAGAAUAUUCCGCAAUGGACGAAAGUCUGACGGAGCGACGCCGCGUGGAUGAUGAAGGUCGGAAGAUUGUAAAAUCCUUUUAUGACUGAAGAAUAAGUAUGGUGAGAGAAACGCCGUAUGG